RNAcentral lists this ribosomal RNA (301 nucleotides) under uncultured bacterium. Its description in RNAcentral is "partial 16S ribosomal RNA". It matches the Rfam family "Bacterial small subunit ribosomal RNA", at positions 509 to 809 of the family's 1533-position model. The record is from RNAcentral.
CAGCCGCCACGGUAAAACGUAGGUGGCAAGCGUUGUCCGGAAUUAUUGGGCGUAAAGGGCGCGUAGGCGGACAGUUUAGUCAGUGGUGAAAGCCCGGGGCUCAACCUCGGAAUUGCCUUUGAUACUGGCUGUCUUGAGUACGGGAGAGGUGUGUGGAACUCCGAGUGUAGAGGUGAAAUUCGUAGAUAUUCGGAAGAACACCAGCGGCGAAGGCGACACACUGGCCCGUUGCUGACGCUGAGGCGCGAAAGCGUGGGGAGCAAACAGGAUUAGAUACCCCUGUAGUCCCUGUCUCUUAUAA